RNAcentral lists this unclassified non-coding RNA (183 nucleotides) under uncultured Mortierella. Its description in RNAcentral is "sequence contains ITS1". The record is from RNAcentral. Lineage: Eukaryota; Fungi; Mortierellomycota; Mortierellomycetes; Mortierellales; Mortierellaceae.
UAAUAAGUGUUUUAUGGCACUCUUUAAAAAAUCCAUAUCCACCUUGUGUGCAACGUUUUUAGACACCCUGGCGCUGAUAUCUCUUUUAAGAGAAGGAAAGCCAGGAUGUUUGAUUAACUUAACUCAACUCCUUUAAAACAGUUUGUCUGAAUACCUAUUUCUGAAUAACAUAAUUCAAAAAUA